This 457-nucleotide ribosomal RNA is filed under the name uncultured bacterium. RNAcentral describes it as "bacterial SSU rRNA". It matches the Rfam family "Bacterial small subunit ribosomal RNA", at positions 71 to 518 of the family's 1533-position model. The record is from RNAcentral.
UAAAAGUAGCAAUACUUGGUGGCGACCGGCGCACGGGUGAGUAACGCGUAUGCAACCUACCUAUCAGGAAGGGGAACUAACCCGGCGAAAGUCGGACUAAUACCGCAUAAAACAGGGGCACCGCAUGGUGAUAUUUGUUAAAGAAAUUCGCUGAUAGAUGGGCAUGCGUUCCAUUAGGUAGUUGGUGAGGUAACGGCUCACCAAGCCGACGAUGGAUAGGGGAACUGAGAGGUUGGUCCCCCACACUGGUACUGAGACACGGACCAGACUCCUACGGGAGGCAGCAGUGAGGAAUAUUGGUCAAUGGGCGAGAGCCUGAACCAGCCAAGUCGCGUGAAGGGAAAAGAAGGAUCUAUGGUUCGUAAACUUCUUUUGCGAGGGGAAUAAAGUGCAGGACGUGUCCUGUUUUGUAUGUACCCUGAGAAUAAGGAUCGGCUAACUCCGUGCCAGCAGCAGC